GGGAUGAGACUUUGCCGUCUUGGGUGUGG
RNAcentral lists this non-coding RNA (29 nucleotides) under Homo sapiens (human). The record is from RNAcentral. Lineage: Eukaryota; Metazoa; Chordata; Mammalia; Primates; Hominidae.